RNAcentral lists this ribosomal RNA (253 nucleotides) under uncultured bacterium. RNAcentral describes it as "partial 16S ribosomal RNA". It matches the Rfam family "Bacterial small subunit ribosomal RNA", at positions 524 to 776 of the family's 1533-position model. The record is from RNAcentral.
UACAGAGGGGGCAAGCGUUGUUCGGAAUUACUGGGCGUAAAGGGUGUGUAGGCGGUUUUUUAAGUUUGGUGUGAAAUCUCCCGGCUCAACUGGGUGGGUGCGCCGAAUACUGAGGGACUAGAGUACGGGAGAGGAAAGUGGAAUUCCUGGUGUAGCGGUGAAAUGCGUAGAUAUCAGGAGGAACACCGGUGGUGUAGACGGCUUUCUGGACCGUAACUGACGCUGAGACACGAAAGCGUGGGUAGCAAACAGG